Molecule: ribosomal RNA, 466 nt
Filed under: uncultured bacterium
Lineage: Bacteria
Description: partial 16S ribosomal RNA
Rfam family: Bacterial small subunit ribosomal RNA
Source: RNAcentral
GACGAACGCUGGCGGUGUGCUUAACACAUGCAAGUCGAACGGUAAGGCCCUUUCGGGGGUACACGAGUGGCGAACGGGUGGGUAACACGUGAGUAACCUGCCCUCAUCUCUGGGAUAACAGUCGGAAACGGUUGCUAAUACUGGAUAUGAGCUUGCAAGGCAUCUUGUGGGUUGGAAAGAUUUUUUUGGUUGGGGAUGGACUCGCGGCCUAUCAGCCUGUUGGUGAGGUAGUGGCUCACCAAGGCUUCGACGGGUAGCCGGCCUGAGAGGGCGACCGGCCACAGUGGGACUGGGAUACGGCCCAAACUCCUACGGGAGGCAGCAGUGGGGAAGAUUGAACAAUGGACGGAAGUCUGAUGCAGCAACGCCGCGGGCGGGAUGACGGCCUUCGGGUUGGAAACCGCUUUCAAUUGUGACGAAGCUGUUUGUGACGGUAGCAGUAGAAGAAGCACCGGCUAACUACGUG